CAACUUUCAGCAAUGGAUCUCUUGGCUCUCGCAUCGAUGAAGAACGCAGCGAAUCGCGAUAUGUAAUGUGAAUUGCAGAUCUUCCGUGAAUCAUCGAAUCUUUGAACGCAUCUUGCGCUCCUCGGUGCUCCGAGGAGCAUGCCUGUUUGAGUGUCGUCGAAUCCU
Molecule: ribosomal RNA, 165 nt
Filed under: Calostoma berkeleyi
Lineage: Eukaryota; Fungi; Basidiomycota; Agaricomycetes; Boletales; Calostomataceae
Description: 5.8S ribosomal RNA
Rfam family: 5.8S ribosomal RNA
About the family: 5.8S ribosomal RNA (5.8S rRNA) is a component of the large subunit of the eukaryotic ribosome. It is transcribed by RNA polymerase I as part of the 45S precursor that also contains 18S and 28S rRNA.
Source: RNAcentral